RNAcentral lists this ribosomal RNA (446 nucleotides) under uncultured bacterium. RNAcentral describes it as "SSU rRNA". It matches the Rfam family "Bacterial small subunit ribosomal RNA", at positions 26 to 518 of the family's 1533-position model. The record is from RNAcentral.
AGAGCGAACGCUGGCGGCAGGCCUAACACAUGCAAGUCGAGCGCGUGUAGCAAUACACGAGCGGCAGACGGGAGAGUAACACGUGGGAACGCGCCCUUCGGUUCGGAAUAACUCAGGGAAACUUGAGCUAAUACCGGAUACGCCCUUACGGGGAAAGAUUUAUUGCCGAAGGAACGGCCCGCGUCCGAUUAGCUAGUUGGUGAGGUAACGGCUCACCAAGGCGACGAUCGGUAGCUGGUCUGAGAGGAUGACCAGCCUCACUGGGACUGAGACACGGCCCAGACUCCUACGGGAGGCAGCAGUGGGGAAUAUUGGACAAUGGCGCAAGCCUGAUCCAGCCAUGCCGCGUGGAUGAUGAAGGCCUUAGGGUUGUAAAGUCCUUUUAACGGGGAAGAUAAUGACGGUACCGUAGAAUAAGCCCCGGCUAACUUCGCGCCAGCAGCCGC